AGCGAACGCUGGCGGCAGGCCUAACACAUGCAAGUCGAACGAACUCUUCGGAAUUUUUCGCGUACGGGUGUGUCACCCGUCGGAACGUUCCUUUUUGUUUGGAAUACCUCAGGGAAACUUGUGCUAAUACCGAAUGUGCCCUUCUGGCGAAUGAUUUAUCGCCAUUAGAGCGGCCCGCGUCUGAUUAGCUAGUUGGUGAGGUUACGGCUCACCAAGGCGACGAUCAGUAACUGGUCUGAGAGGAUGACCAGCCACACUGGGACUGAGACACGACCCAGACUCCUACGGGAGGCAGCAGUGGGGAAUCGUGCGAAAGGGGCGAAAGCCUGAAGGAGCCAUGCAGCGUGAAUGAUGAAGGUCAGAGGAUUGUAAAAGUCUUUCACAGGGGACGAUAAUGAAGGUAACCGGAGAAGAAGCCCCGGCUAACUUAGUG
This 433-nucleotide ribosomal RNA is filed under the name uncultured bacterium. RNAcentral's name for it is "partial 16S ribosomal RNA". It matches the Rfam family "Bacterial small subunit ribosomal RNA", at positions 29 to 507 of the family's 1533-position model. The record is from RNAcentral.